UAAGGAAUAUUGCUCAAUGGGAGAAAUCCUGAAGCAGCAACGCCGCGUGGAGGAUGAAGGGUCUAUGACUUGUAAACUCCUGUAAAGAAGGAAAAAAUUCCCAUUAGAUGGGAGAUGAUGGUACUUCUGGAGUAAGCCCCGGCUAACUACGUGCCAGCAGCCGCGGUAAUACGUAGGGGGCAAGCGUUAUCCGGAUUUACUGGGUUUAAAGGGUGCGUAGGUGGGCAGAUAAGUCAGUGGUGAAAUCUUCCGGCUUAACCGGGAAACUGCCGUUGAUACUAUUUGUCUUGAAUAUUGCGGAGGUAAGCGGAAUAUGUCAUGUAGCGGUGAAAUGCUUAGAUAUGACAUAGAACACCAAUUGCGAAGGCAGCUUACUACACAAUCAUUGACACUGAGGCACGAAAGCGUGGGUAGCGAACA
Molecule: ribosomal RNA, 420 nt
Filed under: uncultured bacterium
Lineage: Bacteria
Description: bacterial SSU rRNA
Rfam family: Bacterial small subunit ribosomal RNA
Source: RNAcentral